GACAGAGGGUGCAAACGUUGCUCGGAAUCACUGGGCGUAAAGGGCGUGUAGGCGGGAAGGAAAGUCAGAUGUGAAAUCCCCAGGCUCAACCUGGGAACUGCAUUUGAAACUCCCUUUCUUGAGUACCGGAGAGGAAAGUGGAAUUCCUGGUGUAGAGGUGAAAUUCGUAGAUAUCAGGAGGAACACCAGUGGCGAAGGCGGCGUUUCUGGACGGUAACUGACGCUGGAGAACGCGAAAGCGUGGGGAGCAAACAGG
This 256-nucleotide ribosomal RNA is filed under the name uncultured bacterium. RNAcentral's name for it is "partial 16S ribosomal RNA". It matches the Rfam family "Bacterial small subunit ribosomal RNA", at positions 524 to 776 of the family's 1533-position model. The record is from RNAcentral.